AGCUUUGCACAGUGGCAGUAUCACAGCCAGAGGCAUGAUUACUGCUCAUUGAAAACUUUUCCCAACACCCCGCCAUGACGACUUGAAAUAUAGUCGGCAUUGGCAAUUUUUGGCAGUCUCUAUGGGGA
This 128-nucleotide small nuclear RNA is filed under the name Aotus nancymaae (Ma's night monkey). RNAcentral describes it as "U4 spliceosomal RNA (ENSANAG00000003275.1)". It matches the Rfam family "U4 spliceosomal RNA". From Rfam's summary of the family: U4 small nuclear RNA (U4 snRNA) is a component of the major U2-dependent spliceosome. The structure of U4 snRNA from yeast and human has been reported. The record is from Rfam by way of RNAcentral. Lineage: Eukaryota; Metazoa; Chordata; Mammalia; Primates; Aotidae.